RNAcentral lists this transfer RNA (89 nucleotides) under Chloroflexota bacterium. RNAcentral's name for it is "Chloroflexi bacterium (sediment metagenome) tRNA-Ser". It matches the Rfam family "tRNA". Rfam says of the family: Transfer RNA (tRNA) molecules are approximately 80 nucleotides in length. Their secondary structure includes four short double-helical elements and three loops (D, anti-codon, and T loops). The record is from RNAcentral. Lineage: Bacteria; Bacillati; Chloroflexota.
GGAGGGGUGGCAGAGCGGUUUAAUGCGGCGGUCUUGAAAACCGUUGCGGGCUUGCCCCGCCGGGGGUUCGAAUCCCUCCCCCUCCGCCA